AUGAACGCUGGCGGCGUGCCUAAUCCCUGCAAGUCGAGCGAACGGACGAGAAGCUUGCUUUUCUGAUGUUAGCGGCGGACGGGUGAGUAACACGUGGAUAACCUACCUAUAAGACUGGGAUAACUUCGGGAAACCGGAGCUAAUACCGGAUAAUAUUUUGAACCGCAUGGUUCAAAAGUGAAAGACGGUCUUGCUGUCACUUAUAGAUGGAUCCGCGCUGCAUUAGCUAGUUGGUAAGGUAACGGCUUACCAAGGCAACGAUGCAUAGCCGACCUGAGAGGGUGAUCGGCCACACUGGAACUGAGACACGGUCCAGACUCCUACGGGAGGCAGCAGUAGGGAAUCUUCCGCAAUGGGCGAAAGCCUGACGGAGCAACGCCGCGUGAGUGAUGAAGGUCUUCGGAUCGUAAAACUCUGUUAUUAGGGAAGAACAUAUGUGUAAGUAACUGUGCACAUCUUGACGGUACCUAAUCAGAAAGCCACGGCUAACUACGUG
Molecule: ribosomal RNA, 496 nt
Filed under: uncultured bacterium
Lineage: Bacteria
Description: partial 16S ribosomal RNA
Rfam family: Bacterial small subunit ribosomal RNA
Source: RNAcentral